GACAAAUUCUUUUCCACUGAGCCACCAGGGAAGCCCAAGCAGCAUUUAACUUUGGCCCAGGGACAGAACGCCUAGGAGCAGGGAUGGCCCUUGCUUGUCCUGUGUCUUGCUCAGUGGGGGCAGCACCGUGGCCAGCACCUGGAAUGUGGUCUAGAAUGGCUUAAGGGUUCUGAGAGGGCUAUCUCCUGACCUUUUCUAAGGGGGAGGGUAAGCCCUGAGGACAGGACUCCUGGCUUUGUCUGGUUGGGUGCAUGGGCCGGUUCACAUGAGUGGGCGUGUGGGCCUUUGGGUUGAGAAGUACACCGGCCCCUGGGAUUCUGGGCGGUAGCUACCAGCGCUUUGUCUAGAAAGAGGCUCCUGGCUCGCCGCCAGGGGUGGGGGCGCAGGGCGCCUGGGAUCCGCCCCUUGAGCCCCUCCCCGACGCAGCCGCCGCCCACCCGCCGGCCUUGGGCUCCAGCACAUCUGGCGGUCCUCAGCGCAUCUGGGCAGCCGGCGCCGAAGCAUGAACAGCUCGCAGGCUGGCGCCACAGCCCGGGGCGCCUGGCAGAGCUCCUGCUGCAACCAGUCGGGGGUGCCGCCGGAGCCCCCCGAGGGGCCGCGCGCCGUGCAGGCGGCGGUGCUGGGCGUGCUGUCGCUGCUCGUGCUCUGCGGGGUCCUCUUCCUGGGCGCCGGCCUCCUGCUCCGCGCCCAGGGUUUAACAGCGCUGCUGGCCCGAGAGCUGCGCUCGUCCCGGGAGGGCGAGCCCGGCGGCGCCAGCGUCGAUGACGACGACUCCUAGGCGCCCGGCUGCGUUCGGGGGUCGCGGCCUCCCGGCGGUCCGUGGACUCCAUGCCAGACUUUGAGGGAGCGGGCCCCCAGCACCCGACGUCUGCAGCGGGGAGCCUACCGCGAUGCUGGUGCGCUCGCACAGGUGAGAGUGCGCACAGGUGAAAGAGACGCAGCCAUCCCAGGCCCCCGGCUUCUUCUUUCUCCCCUCCUCUCCUUCCGGAAGCCUUUCCCCCCGAGAGGAGAUUCGACUCAGUGCCUGGGAAGCUGGCCCAUGGUGUGUGCUGUGGAGGACCUCAGUGUUCCUGGAGGAAGAGCCUGAGACGUUUGCUGAGAAACUCUGACCCUGGUCAAGGCUGUCAGACUGAAUGGGGAGGGAAAGAAUUCAUAAAAUUGGGAAAUGGGUGUUGUUGUCACGCCAUCUGUCAGGCUCGGCUUGGGAGUGGCAGGGAUGAUGACUGCAGGUUGGUGUGCCAUGGGGUGAGGCCAGGCAUUUGGAUCCCAACAAGCUCCAUUAGCCUGUGCUAUUCUUGAUGGAAAGGCUGGGUCCACACAUGCGUGGUUGGCUUACUCUUCCUCUAAACCCCGAGUCUCACCCUGAGGUGGAAAGGACUGUCAUUCCUUGGCUCCCUCUCCAGCAAGAAUGGGGGCGGCUAUCUAUUACAGAUUCCCAAACCUCGCAUGGUGUGUCUCCCAGAACACUUUCCUUCAGUCCUACCGGCCACACAAGGAACCUUUGAUCCGCAUACAGUACAGAUGACAGCCUGGGAAAAACCUGGACUGUGGUGAGACCUCAACCUGGGAUUCCUGCACACAGCUGCUUCCUCUGACCUGCUCCAUCCAACCUCCUGAAGUGCUCAUGGUAUGGGCCUGGGUGGUCAGCCCCCCAGGAAAGAAUGGGCCUCCUGGCAACUGUUGUGCGUCCUGGGCACUGAAGUGGCCACACCCUCAGGAUGCUCAGUGCUGCAGACGCUGACAGACUCGUGCCUGCUGGGCCUGGUCCCAUCUCUGGUGCUGGGUGGCUGUGGUCUGACAGGCUAGUGACUUGUCCCUGCUGAGGGUGGUAGGCCAGUGUCCCAAAUGUGAAGGUCUUGGGUGCCCCAGCAAUGCCUCAUCACUGCCCCAUCACUUCCUGUGGCUUGUUAUUAAAUAUGCUGGUAAUGUAAAGUUGGCAUAUACAGUCAGUGUUUCCAGCUCCUGGCUCUUGGAAUUAGUGGUAACCCUGGGCCAGUGGUAAAGAACCUGCCAGCCAGUGCAGGAGACAUAAGAGAUGUUCUUGCCUGGAGAAUCCCAUGGACAGAGAAGUCUGGUGGACUCAUACAGUUGCAAAGCGUUGGACAUGACUGAAGCGACUUAGCACGCAGCAUGUUGGGUCCACUCCAGUUUGGACUGUUUCUGGCAGAUCCUGAAAUAGCAACCCCAGCCACAGCCCCUCUCCCUUGGUCUCUUCUCAGCUAGCUUUUCCCUCUCCACACCCAGCUCCACAUCUCCUGGUAGGUAGGAGGCGGGGCAGUGACUCUCCCACCGACACUCUACUGCCUCCCUGUGGUCGGUGUGGGCAAGAUUGCCGGGAGAAAUACCAGUAACCCUAACAGCAAAAUGUGAAGAGGAACUAAAGAGCCUCUUGAUAAGGUGAAAGAGGAGAGUGAAAAAGCUCGCUUAAAACUCAGCUUUCAGAAAACUAAG
This is a long non-coding RNA of Bubalus bubalis (water buffalo), 2451 nucleotides long. RefSeq annotates it as small integral membrane protein 41. NCBI's taxonomy places the organism in Eukaryota, Metazoa, Chordata, Mammalia, Artiodactyla, Bovidae. The record is from RefSeq and is a predicted model, not a curated record. The transcript is spliced from 2 exons.